AGAGUUUGAUCCUGGCUCAGGAUGAACGCUGACAGAAUGCUUAACACAUGCAAGUCAACUUGAAUUGGGUUUUUAACUUAGAUUUGGGUGGCGGACGGGUGAGUAACGCGUAAAGAACUUGCCUCACAGCUAGGGACAACAUUUAGAAAUGAAUGCUAAUACCUGAUAUUAUGAUUUUAAGGCAUCUUAGAAUUAUGAAAGCUAUAAGCACUGUGAGAGAGCUUUGCGUCCCAUUAGCUAGUUGGAGAGGUAACAGCUCACCAAGGCGAUGAUGGGUAGCCGGCCUGAGAGGGUGAACGGCCACAAGGGGACUGAGACACGGCCCUUACUCCUACGGGAGGCAGCAGUGGGGAAUAUUGGACAAUGGACCGAGAGUCUGAUCCAGCAAUUCUGUGUGCACGAUGAAGUUUUUCGGAAUGUAAAGUGCUUUCAGUUGGGAAGAAAUAAAUGACGGUACCAACAGAAGAAGUGACGGCUAAAUACGUG
Molecule: ribosomal RNA, 486 nt
Filed under: uncultured Fusobacterium sp.
Lineage: Bacteria; Fusobacteriati; Fusobacteriota; Fusobacteriia; Fusobacteriales; Fusobacteriaceae
Description: bacterial SSU rRNA
Rfam family: Bacterial small subunit ribosomal RNA
Source: RNAcentral